This 69-nucleotide transfer RNA is filed under the name Achromobacter sp. KAs 3-5. RNAcentral describes it as "tRNA-Ser". Lineage: Bacteria; Pseudomonadati; Pseudomonadota; Betaproteobacteria; Burkholderiales; Alcaligenaceae. The record is from RNAcentral.
GCGUUAGAUUGGUUUCCUACGGGCCUUCUAAGCCCGGGGUCGGGGGUUCGAGCCCCUCCUGCCGCGCCA